RNAcentral lists this small RNA (80 nucleotides) under Arabidopsis thaliana (thale cress). Its description in RNAcentral is "ATSL291630". Lineage: Eukaryota; Viridiplantae; Streptophyta; Magnoliopsida; Brassicales; Brassicaceae. The record is from RNAcentral.
UGGAAACAAAGGCAGAGUUGUAGGACAAGGAAGACGACAGAAUCAUCAAGGCGGCAACGGCAUUGGUACUUUUCUUAGAG